RNAcentral lists this ribosomal RNA (522 nucleotides) under uncultured bacterium. Its description in RNAcentral is "bacterial SSU rRNA". It matches the Rfam family "Bacterial small subunit ribosomal RNA", at positions 777 to 1297 of the family's 1533-position model. The record is from RNAcentral.
AAUAGAUACCCCGGUAGUCCACGCCGUAAACGAUGAGUGCUAAGUGUUAGAGGGUUUCCGCCCUUUAGUGCUGCAGCUAACGCAUUAAGCACUCCGCCUGGGGAGUACGGUCGCAAGACUGAAACUCAAAGGAAUUGACGGGGGCCCGCACAAGCGGUGGAGCAUGUGGUUUAAUUCGAAGCAACGCGAAGAACCUUACCAGGUCUUGACAUCCUCUGACAACUCUAGAGAUAGAGCGUUCCCCUUCGGGGGACAGAGUGACAGGUGGUGCAUGGUUGUCGUCAGCUCGUGUCGUGAGAUGUUGGGUUAAGUCCCGCAACGAGCGCAACCCUUGAUCUUAGUUGCCAGCAUUUAGUUGGGCACUCUAAGGUGACUGCCGGUGACAAACCGGAGGAAGGUGGGGAUGACGUCAAAUCAUCAUGCCCCUUAUGACCUGGGCUACACACGUGCUACAAUGGAUGGUACAAAGGGCUGCAAGACCGCGAGGUGGAGCUAAUCUCAUAAAACCGUUCUCAGUUCGGA